This 1205-nucleotide unclassified non-coding RNA is filed under the name Hevea brasiliensis (rubber tree). Lineage: Eukaryota; Viridiplantae; Streptophyta; Magnoliopsida; Malpighiales; Euphorbiaceae. The record is from RNAcentral.
UUUUUUUUUUUUUUUUUUUUUCAAAUCACAAGCUGAAAGCACCUUUCUUAAUUAACAGAAAUACCAAAAGAUUGUGCACAAGAAGUCCGCAUAAAUUAAGACUACCCAGAGUGAUGUUUUUGACAGAAAGGACUUAAAUAAUCACAUAGCCAUAAGACAAAUAUAGUGUUAACGCAUAACUUCAUCUUGAGCUGAAAGACUCAAGUAAAACAACCCAGUGGGAAGGGUACAACUUGUUAUGUCGACAAAUUAUGGUCAAGCCCUAUGGGCUCGAGUCACAAACACAACCAGCAGGACCACCACGGAUAGCAGGAAGGAUGUUCUCAGCUUUUCCUCAAAUGGAUCUGCGGCUUCUGUUGUUUUCUUCUCAUUAUUAGGUGCUUUGAACAACUCAUUCAUCAGCUUCGUUAUUUUCUCAAUUGCUUCCGUGAAUUUUGCUUUUGUGUUUUCAAAUAUCCACUUUACAGCAUUCAAAGCAGGACUGGAGUCAUCGCCAGUCUCAUCUGAACUCUCUGUGGUUAGUGAACUAAUCUUUUUCUUCUGCACAGUAGGUCUCAUCAUGCAGCUCGCGGACUACCUCAUUGUUCAAAACAGCAUCCCAAACAGCUUUAUCAGAAGACAAUGAGAUGACCAUUCUCUGAACAGAUGGCUCAGUCUGCAAUAAAUGGAAAGCAUCAUAAACACUGUCAGGUCCAUAAGGGCGUAACAUUCUUGAGUUACACAGAUGUGGAGAAGACUCCCCCCAAUCUAAAUCUGACCCAGCUGGAGAAACAUGGUGCAGCAUGCCUGUUGAACUCAAAAUUUGAUCUGCUACAUCUUUGUCCACAUUAUAAGUAAAUUUAUCUGUAAUGGACUGGGGAUGCGAAGCAGCAUCAUAUAUCUGUGUAAGGGCAGAGACAGCGCUAUGAACUUCGUCCAUGGAAGGAACGGGUCCCAGAACAAAAUCAUCAGAAACUCCAAUUGUGCUCUUAUAUUCACUCCCAUCCUUAUACACCCACUCAUACUCAUCACAAUAAGAAUCAUCAGAAGGAGCAAAAGAAGGCCAGGAAGAGGCGUCGGGACUCCCAUAAUUAGCAGAUACGGGAACAUUGCAAGCAGAAGCAGAAGACAAACUAAGAUUAUUAUUGGAAGAAUUGAGCCCGUGGGUUGACCUAGAAAUAGCAGUAGGGGAAGUAGCAGUGCCACAAGAAGAAGAAGAAGAAGAA